UACGUAGGGGGCGAGCGUUGUCCGGAUUUACUGGGCGUAAAACGCUUGUAGGCGGCCACGUCAAGUCGGAUGUGAAAUCUCCCGGCUUAACUGGGAGCGGUCAUUCGAUACUGGCGGGCUCGAGGCAGGUAGGGGGAAGCGGAAUUCCCGGUGUAGUGGUGGAAUGCGUAGAUAUCGGGAGGAACACCAGUGGCGAAGGCGGCUUCCUGGACCUGUUCUGACGCUGAGGAGCGAAAGCGUGGGGAGCGAUCCGG
RNAcentral lists this ribosomal RNA (254 nucleotides) under uncultured bacterium. Its description in RNAcentral is "partial 16S ribosomal RNA". It matches the Rfam family "Bacterial small subunit ribosomal RNA", at positions 524 to 776 of the family's 1533-position model. The record is from RNAcentral.